RNAcentral lists this unclassified non-coding RNA (335 nucleotides) under soil metagenome. RNAcentral's name for it is "partial contains 5.8S ribosomal RNA, internal transcribed spacer 2, and large subunit ribosomal RNA". The stretch from base 1 to 120 matches the Rfam family "5.8S ribosomal RNA", at positions 35 to 154 of the family's 154-position model. The record is from RNAcentral.
GAUGAAGAACGUAGCGAAAUGCGAUAAGUAAUGUGAAUUGCAGAAUUCAGUGAAUCAUCGAAUCUUUGAACGUACAUUGCGCCCGCCAGUAUUCUGGCGGGCAUGCCUGUUCGAGCGUCAUUUCAACCAUCAAGCCCCCGGCUUGUGUUGGGGACCUGCGGCUGCCGCAGGCCCUGAAAACCAGUGGCGGGCUCGCUAGUCACUCCGAGCGUAGUAAUACAUCUCGCUCAGGGCGUGCUGCGGGUUCCGGCCGUUAAAAAGCCUUAUUUACCCAAGGUUGACCUCGGAUCAGGUAGGAAGACCCGCUGAACUUAAGCAUAUCAAUAAGCGGAGGA